GUGUCACUUUGGCAGUACAUACACCCAAACUGGAACGAUACAGAGGAGAUUAGCAUGGCUCCUGUGCAAGGCUGACAUGCAAAUUCGUGAAGCGUUCCAUAUUUUA
Molecule: small nuclear RNA, 106 nt
Organism: Tupaia belangeri (northern tree shrew)
Lineage: Eukaryota; Metazoa; Chordata; Mammalia; Scandentia; Tupaiidae
Source: Ensembl